CUUUGGACUGCAGUGACAUCUACAGGAUAGGUGAAAAAAAACAAAAAGAAACAAAAACAUAGGUAUUCCGGAGUUCAAACAUACAUUCUGCUAGAGACUACAGAUUUGGACAUAUUUCAUGAUGAUAAGUGGUCCAAGGGAAGAGAGAAAAAAGGGAAGAAACCAGAUCACUUGAAACACAGAAAGUGGAUUGUUGUUCACUUUUCAUUCCCAAAUGAAGAGAAAGAAAGGAAAAGAUCACACUGGAGAGUGAAGAACUCAAACCAGUUUUCUGGAGUUAUAGAAAAAUGGUUGAAAGGAACAGCAUAAAAAUUGAGACUUAAACAUUUGUUUACAUUUUCUAUCUGGGUGAAUCAUCA
RNAcentral lists this long non-coding RNA (359 nucleotides) under Gallus gallus (chicken). The record is from RNAcentral. Lineage: Eukaryota; Metazoa; Chordata; Aves; Galliformes; Phasianidae.